RNAcentral lists this transfer RNA (65 nucleotides) under Meroptera pravella. RNAcentral describes it as "tRNA-Cys". The record is from RNAcentral. Lineage: Eukaryota; Metazoa; Arthropoda; Insecta; Lepidoptera; Pyralidae.
AGUCUUAUAGUCAAUAAUGAUAUGAAAUUGCAAAUUUUAAGGAAUAAUAAUUUUUAUUAAGGCUU